GGUCGUGUAGCUCAGUCGGGAGAGCGCUGCACUGAAAAUGCGGAGGCCGCUGGUUCGAUUCCAGCCAUGACCA
Molecule: transfer RNA, 73 nt
Filed under: Mycobacterium koreense
Lineage: Bacteria; Bacillati; Actinomycetota; Actinomycetes; Mycobacteriales; Mycobacteriaceae
Description: Mycolicibacillus koreensis tRNA-Phe
Rfam family: tRNA
About the family: Transfer RNA (tRNA) molecules are approximately 80 nucleotides in length.
Source: RNAcentral